GGGCUCUUAGCUCAUUUGGUAGAGCACCUGCUUUGCACGCAGGGGGUGAGGGGUUCGAAUCCCCUAGAGUCCA
This 73-nucleotide transfer RNA is filed under the name Candidatus Peribacteria bacterium. RNAcentral's name for it is "tRNA-Ala". It matches the Rfam family "tRNA". From Rfam's summary of the family: Transfer RNA (tRNA) molecules are approximately 80 nucleotides in length. Lineage: Bacteria; Candidatus Peregrinibacteriota; Candidatus Peribacteria. The record is from RNAcentral.